Non-coding RNA from Caenorhabditis elegans, 71 nucleotides. The record is from Ensembl. NCBI's taxonomy places the organism in Eukaryota, Metazoa, Nematoda, Chromadorea, Rhabditida, Rhabditidae.
GAUGGAAUGGAAUCGGAUGGCAGCACGUGGCGCCCUUCCGUUUGUUUGCCCGCUCUUUUUUUUAAUUUCAA